GACGAACGCUGGCGGCGUGCCUAAUACAUGCAAGUCGAGCGGACCGAACAGGAGCUUGCUCUUGUUCGGUUAGCGGCGGACGGGUGAGUAACACGUGGGUAACCUGCCCGUAAGACCGGGAUAACUCCGGGAAACCGGAGCUAAUACCGGAUAACACCGAAGACCGCAUGGUCUUUGGUUGAAAGGCGGCUUCGGCUGCCACUUACGGAUGGGCCCGCGGCGCAUUAGCUAGUUGGUGAGGUAACGGCUCACCAAGGCGACGAUGCGUAGCCGGCCUGAGAGGGUGACCGGCCACACUGGGACUGAGACACGGCCCAGACUCCUACGGGAGGCAGCAGUAGGGAAUCUUCCGCAAUGGACGAAAGUCUGACGGAGCGACGCCGCGUGAGCGAAGAAGGUCUUCGGAUCGUAAAGCUCUGUUGUUAGGGAAGAAGAAGCGUCGUUCGGACAGGGCGGCGCGGUGACGGUACCUAACGAGAAAGCCCCGGCUAACUACGUG
RNAcentral lists this ribosomal RNA (499 nucleotides) under uncultured bacterium. Its description in RNAcentral is "partial 16S ribosomal RNA". It matches the Rfam family "Bacterial small subunit ribosomal RNA", at positions 28 to 507 of the family's 1533-position model. The record is from RNAcentral.